RNAcentral lists this ribosomal RNA (253 nucleotides) under uncultured bacterium. RNAcentral describes it as "partial 16S ribosomal RNA". It matches the Rfam family "Bacterial small subunit ribosomal RNA", at positions 524 to 776 of the family's 1533-position model. The record is from RNAcentral.
UACAGAGGUCUCAAGCGUUGUUCGGAUUCAUUGGGCGUAAAGGGUGCGUAGGCGGCGCGGUAAGUCGGGUGUGAAAUCUCGGAGCUUAACUCCGAAACUGCAUUCGAUACUGCCGUGCUUGAGGACUGGAGAGGAGAGUGGAAUUCCUGGUGUAGCGGUGAAAUGCGUAGAUAUCAGGAGGAACACCGGUGGCGAAGGCGGCUCUCUGGACCACAACUGACGCUGAGGCGCGAAAGCUAGGGGAGCAAACAGG